RNAcentral lists this ribosomal RNA (273 nucleotides) under uncultured bacterium. RNAcentral's name for it is "partial 16S ribosomal RNA". It matches the Rfam family "Bacterial small subunit ribosomal RNA", at positions 524 to 796 of the family's 1533-position model. The record is from RNAcentral.
UACGUAGGUGGCGAGCGUUGUCCGGAUUUAUUGGGUUUAAAGGGUGCGUAGGCGGCCCUGUAAGUCAGUGCUGAAAUAUCCCGGCUUAACUGGGAGGGUGGCAUUGAUACUGUGGGGCUAGAGUACAGAUGAGGUAGGCGGAAUUGACGGUGUAGCGGUGAAAUGCUUAGAUAUCGUCAAGAACACCUAUAGCGAAGGCAGCUUACUAGGCUGUAACUGACGCUGAGGCACGAAAGUGUGGGGAUCAAACAGGAUUAGAAACCCCCGUAGUCC